UCCGUGUUAACCACGGCAGUCUCCUUAGAGAGCCCAACUGAAUGCUGGCAACUAAGGACAAGGGUUGCGCUCGUUGCGGGACUUAACCCAACAUGUCACCACACGAGCUGACGACAGCCAUGCAGCACCUGUCACCUCGCUUACUUGCGUAAGAAAAUGUAUCUCUACAUCGGUCGAGGGAUGUCAAACCCAGGUAAGGUUCUUCGCGUUGCUUCGAAUUAAACCACAUGAUCCACCGCUUGUGCGGGCCCCCGUCAAUUCCUUUGAGUUUUAGUCUUGCGACCGUACUUCCCAGGCGGGGUACUUAGUGCGUUAGCUCCGGCUCAGCAGGGGUCAAGACCCGCCAAGCCUAGUACCCAUCGUUUACGGCGUGGACUAC
RNAcentral lists this unclassified non-coding RNA (379 nucleotides) under uncultured Oligoflexales bacterium. RNAcentral describes it as "contains 16S-23S intergenic spacer region". Lineage: Bacteria; Pseudomonadati; Bdellovibrionota; Oligoflexia; Oligoflexales. The record is from RNAcentral.